GCGCCGGUAGCUCAGCGGAUGAGAGCAUCUGACUACGGAUCAGAAGGUCGGGGGUUCGAAUCCCUCCCGGCGCG
Molecule: transfer RNA, 74 nt
Filed under: Actinomycetota bacterium
Lineage: Bacteria; Bacillati; Actinomycetota
Description: tRNA-Arg
Rfam family: tRNA
About the family: Transfer RNA (tRNA) molecules are approximately 80 nucleotides in length.
Source: RNAcentral